Long non-coding RNA from Ictalurus punctatus (channel catfish), 1805 nucleotides. RefSeq lists it as uncharacterized. Lineage: Eukaryota; Metazoa; Chordata; Actinopteri; Siluriformes; Ictaluridae. The transcript has 3 exons. The record is from RefSeq and is a predicted model, not a curated record.
ACAUGAUGGCACCAAGAGGGAGUUUAAAUCCCCGGAGGACGCCAGAGCCUUCAUCAAGACACUGAUCAAGGCUGGAAGGUACUGGAACUCUCAUGAAGAACAGAAUUCCAAAGGACUGCAACAUUAUAUGAGAUCAGGGCUUCAAAAAGAAAGGAAGAGGGGGCAUCUUAGAUGGUGGUCAGAUGAAGUCCUGAACUCGCUGUCAUUAAGUGGUUUGACAACAACCCAGUGGUCAUGCCAUCAUCUUCCUAUGGCACUGAGCCCCAGGACACAUGAAGUAGAUGGUCUAAGAAAGAGAAAAGCCCGUGACCUGGAAAAUGAUCGAUGUGAAACAUCUUGAAGGACAUAUUAAUCCUCUAAUUGCACCGUGAGGAGGCAAGGAGUGAGGAACCAUCCAGAGGAGCUAGGAGCAAGGAUACACAGGUGUAUGCCUUUGCGGAAAUGAUUCUUGUCAAAAAACCUGAUGCACAUACAGUAUCUCACAAAAGUGAUUACACCCCUCACAUUUUUGUAAAUAUCUCACUUUUGUGAGAUACUGUAUAAAUUCCCCUCUGGCAGAUCUUGUGGGAUCUGCCAUAAUCUCAAACAAAAAGUCCUUUGAUGUAAUAGAAUUUUCUGUGAAAUAUUAUUAAAUAAUAUGCUUACAUUCAGUAUUGUCAUUAAUUGAUCCUUGCAUGUUUGGAUAUGCAAAGCUGCACAAAAGAUGUGAUACUUUCUAUAUUGCUUAUUAAUUCAUUGUUGAAUAAACCAGACAUUUCACAUACUAUCAGUGCAUGUUGCUUUAAUAAAAAUGUUGUUAUUAACCAAGCUCCAACAACAUAAUGGCAGAUCCCUGAAGCACAAUGAAGUAAUCCAGCUGAACACACUCAUCAUUAAUUGACGUGGCUUUGAAGUGACACUUGAGAGAACGAGGAUAUUCUAUUUGACUUGCUUCGACUCCUCUCUCCUCGCAUCUCAUUCUUGCAUCCUUCCCUUACAUCCUAAGGGGGUGGAACUAAGAAGCGAGCAAAGGAAAUAAGGAUGCACAAAUAAGAAAUGAGAAGCAUCCCUUGUUUUUCAGCACCUAAUUGUCAAGCUUUUGAUGUUGUCGUGUUCAUGUGUUAUCGUGUGUGCUACAGCUGCUCUCAUAGUCUGCAUGUUUUUGCCUUGUGUCAGUUUUACAAUUAUGGUUCUUGUUUUCACAGUUUUGAUUUUGUUUUGCACUUUAUUCAAUAGAAAUCGGUGCUUACAUCCGCCGCCUUCAACAAUCCGUGACACUAUGUUGCAGAGUUUUUCGCUGCUUCAAUAAAAAUGCUAAAAAAUAACAAUGCUUCUGGUGCCUUAAUUUAAGACAAAGUCACUUAUUUUUAUUAUUCUGUUUGAAGAAAUUGUGUUUUAUUGUAAGCCCCCCCCCCAUUAAGGAAUAAGUUCUUAAAGUCAGCUCAAUCAAGAGACCAAAAUACUCAUUAAGUCUAUCUUGAAUAACUGAGUUUUCAUUGCUUGUAAUAUGCACAACUUGCUUAAAGUUUGGCAGUUUUGUCUAGUUUUAAGAUCCAAUAGCAUUUUUAGUGACUAGAUAUUUAUGCUAUUUUGAGAAUUAUUACCAAGUCAGUUUUGCUUGCUCCAUUGGCAGAUUUUUUUCUCUCUUGGUUCUAGUACACUUUAACUAGAUUUAAGUGUGUCUUGCUUGUUUCAAGAAACCCAUUUUUUGCAGUGCAGCUGAAGUGACUUUUGGGUGUUAAAUCUCACACUUAUACACUUAUAUACAUAAAUCACUUACAUACUUAAAUACACUUAUAUUUAUGUUCCAUAGAAAUGAAAACAUU